CUACGGGGGGCUCCAGUGGGGAAUCUUAGACAAUGGGCGCAAGCCUGAUCUAGCCAUGCCGCGUGAGUGACGAAGGCCUUAGGGUCGUAAAGCUCUUUCGCUGGGGAAGAUAAUGAAGGUACCCAGUAAAGAAACCCCGGCUAACUCCGUGCCAGCAGCCGCGGUAAUACGGAGGGGGUUAGCGUUGUUCGGAAUUACUGGGCGUAAAGCGCGCGUAGGCGGAUCAGAAAGUUGGGGGUGAAAUCCCGGGGCUCAACCCCGGAACUGCCUUCAAAACUCCUGGUCUUGAGUUCGAGAGAGGUGAGUGGAAUUCCGAGUGUAGAGGUGAAAUUCGUAGAUAUUCGGAGGAACACCAGUGGCGAAGGCGGCUCACUGGCUCGAUACUGACGCUGAGGUGCGAAAGCGUGGGGAGCAAACAGGAUUAGAUACCCGAGUAGUC
Molecule: ribosomal RNA, 439 nt
Filed under: uncultured bacterium
Lineage: Bacteria
Description: partial 16S ribosomal RNA
Rfam family: Bacterial small subunit ribosomal RNA
Source: RNAcentral